AUGCUGGAGGUAUCAGAAGUGCGAAUGCUGACAUAAGUAACGAUAAAGCGGGUGAAAAGCCCGCUCGCCGGAAGACCAAGGGUUCCUGUCCAACGUUAAUCGGGGCAGGGUGAGUCGACCCCUAAGGCGAGGCCGAAAGGCGUAGUCGAUGGGAAACAGGUUAAUAUUCCUGUACUUGGUGUUACUGCGAAGGGGGGACGGAGAAGGCUAUGUUGGCCGGGCGACGGUUGUCCCGGUUUAAGCGUGUAGGCUGGUUUUCCAGGCAAAUCCGGAAAAUCAAGGCUGAGGCGUGAUGACGAGGCACUACGGUGCUGAAGCAACAAAUGCCCUGCUUCCAGGAAAAGCCUCUAAGCAUCAGGUAACAUCAAAUCGUACCCCAAACCGACACAGGUGGUCAGGUAGAGAAUACCAAGGCGCUUGAGAGAACUCGGGUGAAGGAACUAGGCAAAAUGGUGCCGUAACUUCGGGAGAAGGCACGCUGAUAUGUAGGUGAAGUCCCUUGCGGAUGGAGCUGAAAUCAGUCGAAGAUACCAGCUGGCUGCAACUGUUUAUUAAAAACACAGCACUGUGCAAACACGAAAGUGGACGUAUACGGUGUGACGCCUGCCCGGUGCCGGAAGGUUAAUUGAUGGGGUUAGCGGUAGCGAAGCUCUUGAUCGAAGCCCCGGUAAACGGCGGCCGUAACUAUAACGGUCCUAAGGUAGCGAAAUUCCUUGUCGGGUAAGUUCCGACCUGCACGAAUGGCGUAAUGAUGGCCAGGCUGUCUCCACCCGAGACUCAGUGAAAUUGAACUCGCUGUGAAGAUGCAGUGUACCCGCGGCAAGACGGAAAGACCCCGUGAACCUUUACUAUAGCUUGACACUGAACAUUGAGCCUUGAUGUGUAGGAUAGGUGGGAGGCUUUGAAGUGUGGACGCCAGUCUGCAUGGAGCCGACCUUGAAAUACCACCCUUUAAUGUUUGAUGUUCUAACGUUGACCCGUAAUCCGGGUUGCGGACAGUGUCUGGUGGGUAGUUUGACUGGGGCGGUCUCCUCCUAAAGAGUAACGGAGGAGCACGAAGGUUGGCUAAUCCUGGUCGGACAUCAGGAGGUUAGUGCAAUGGCAUAAGCCAGCUUGACUGCGAGCGUGACGGCGCGAGCAGGUGCGAAAGCAGGUCAUAGUGAUCCGGUGGUUCUGAAUGGAAGGGCCAUCGCUCAACGGAUAAAAGGUACUCCGGGGAUAACAGGCUGAUACCGCCCAAGAGUUCAUAUCGACGGCGGUGUUUGGCACCUCGAUGUCGGCUCAUCACAUCCUGGGGCUGAAGUAGGUCCCAAGGGUAUGGCUGUUCGCCAUUUAAAGUGGUACGCGAGCUGGGUUUAGAACGUCGUGAGACAGUUCGGUCCCUAUCUGCCGUGGGCGCUGGAGAACUGAGGGGGGCUGCUCCUAGUACGAGAGGACCGGAGUGGACGCAUCACUGGUGUUCGGGUUGUCAUGCCAAUGGCACUGCCCGGUAGCUAAAUGCGGAAGAGAUAAGUGCUGAAAGCAUCUAAGCACGAAACUUGCCCCGAGAUGAGUUCUCCCUGAC
This 1564-nucleotide ribosomal RNA is filed under the name Escherichia coli. RNAcentral describes it as "partial 23S ribosomal RNA". It matches the Rfam family "Bacterial large subunit ribosomal RNA", at positions 1270 to 2819 of the family's 2925-position model. The record is from RNAcentral. Lineage: Bacteria; Pseudomonadati; Pseudomonadota; Gammaproteobacteria; Enterobacterales; Enterobacteriaceae.